GACGAACGCUGGCGGCGUGCUUAACACAUGCAAGUCGAACGGUGAACCAGGGCUUGCCCUGGGGAUCAGUGGCGAACGGUGAGUAACACGUGGGCAACCUGCCCCUGACUCUGGGAUAACUCCUCGAAAGAGGUGCUAAUACCGGAUACGACCACUUCGGGCAUCCGAUGGUGGUGGAAGAAUUUUGGUCAGGGAUGGGCCCGCGGCCUAUCAGCUUGUUGGUGGGGUAACGGCCCACCAAGGCGACGACGGGUAGCCGGCCUGAGAGGGCGACCGGCCACACUGGGACUGAGACACGGCCCAGACUCCUACGGGAGGCAGCAGUGGGGAAUAUUGCGCAAUGGGCGAAAGCCUGACGCAGCGACGCCGCGUGAGGGGACGAC
This 383-nucleotide ribosomal RNA is filed under the name uncultured bacterium. Its description in RNAcentral is "bacterial SSU rRNA". It matches the Rfam family "Bacterial small subunit ribosomal RNA", at positions 28 to 412 of the family's 1533-position model. The record is from RNAcentral.